UUGUGGUGUUGUUCAUCUGGUUGAUACUGAGAAACAAGCAGAGAAAAGCAGACUCAUCAGCCACAGCAAUGGCCGGAGUGGAGGUAGCAUACGCUGAAGUUAGACCCAAGAAAAAACACUUAGGCAAGGUGGACCAGGAAGUAAUAUACACCAAUGUGGGAAACAUUAGAAGAAAAUCACCCGAGAUGUCACUUCCUGAAAGUGAUGGGGAAGUCAUGUACAGUUCAGUUGUUACCCCCAGGGAUCAAUAAAGUAUUCUGAUUCUGAUUAGAAGAAAAUCACCCGAGGUAACCCUAACAUGUGUCUGUGAAGGUUCUCAGUCAUCCAGGUCAUCGUAGUCAAAGGAGCUUGCAAAGAAAAGCGUCUGGACUUCUUUAAGUUGCUUGAAGACGUUUCACCUCUCAUCCGAGAAGCUUCUUCAGUUCUAAGGUCAAAUGGUGGAGAGUCCAUCUAUGUCCACUGUGAGUGAUCAUCUGUGAACAGAGGCGGGGGUUUACGACACCAACUCUCUGCCAUCUAUAAUCCAGUUUUGAGAUCCCUUCCCAGACGCCUUAACGCCCACUCACAUCCUGGGCCAUCUGACCUCAGGAAUUCGCAUGAUAAGGUGGGGCCAGGUUUCACAAUGAACACACCCGAAACUCUGGCUGAUUGGAACCCACACCCAGUUUCACACCUUGGCUCAGGCGAUUAGAGGAUCAUCAGGGGGUUCUUUUGUCCCUCUGUGGGGGGUUACUCCCACUGGAACUCUCCACCAUUUGACCUUAGAACUGAAGAAGCUUCUCGGAUGAGAGGUGAAACGUCUUCAAGCAACUUAAAGAAGUCCAGACGCUUUUCUUUGCAAGCUCCUUUGACUAACCCUAACAUACUACAACUAUACAUUUGUAUUUGAGUAUAAGCAGACUUUAACUUUUUUUUCUUAAAGAAUGACACGACUGUAAAGUGUUCUGUUUCCACUCCUUUUGUUUGUUCAGUUGUUACCAUAAAGAAACAAGAGGGUAAAUAUUUAAAGACCUGAAACCAACACACAUGAUUUCUCACAUACUGUUUCUCUCUUUUCAAAUAAUUUAGCUCAUUAUCCU
Long non-coding RNA from Astatotilapia calliptera (eastern happy), 1079 nucleotides. Lineage: Eukaryota; Metazoa; Chordata; Actinopteri; Cichliformes; Cichlidae. The record is from Ensembl.